RNAcentral lists this long non-coding RNA (7154 nucleotides) under Sus scrofa (pig). RNAcentral describes it as "lncRNA (ENSSSCG00025046606.1)". The record is from RNAcentral. Lineage: Eukaryota; Metazoa; Chordata; Mammalia; Artiodactyla; Suidae.
GGGCUAUAUGUCCCCUGAGUCUGAGCUCCAGCUCCGUUCUGCAUCAGGGGAGGGGUAGCCAGGACCAGAGGACCCUCUCAGCUGCAUGUGAGUCAGGAAAGCAAUCUGAUGGAAUCAGUUCACACUAAUGCACAGGUGACCAACAGAAGCAUCUAUCUGGCUUUGGACUAAAAAUAACCACAGUGACAAAAACAAACAAACAAAAAAAACUCUACCAGCUAUUCUAAAGACAUUUCUCCCUUCUCGAAGUAAUGUUUGGAAGUUUAAUAGAAAUGAAAACAUCUGGGAAUGAGAAGGAAGAUAGAUGUGGGCAAAGUCACAUCUACCUUCAAUUCAGUGGUUGUUCAGCGCUGACCCAUCUCGAAGCAGCCCAAAGCAUGCUUUUAUUUUAUUUGAUAGCAUAUAGUGCUUGGAAUUCUGAAUGUGUUGUCAUCACAGGAAAAUCUGGAUCCCACCUUCUCUUUAAAAACAGAAGGCUCUGGAAACAUUCACUACUGUUUGUUGCAAUGACUGGCUGGGUCUGAUCCCAACGGGUACCUGAGUUUGCAUCUAUUGUUAGCUUGCUAGCCUUCUUCUUCCUUCCUUGUCAAACAUUCCACGUUCUCCCUUUCCAAACCAGGUCUCUAAAACCUUCCUUUCAAUACCAUCAUCAUUUUUUGGAGUCCUGUUUUUUUUUUGUUUUUGUUUUUUUAAUUUUCUUACGGCCACACCUGCCGCAUGUGGAAGUUCCCAGGCUAGGGGUUGAAGAUUCUUAAGCCACAGAGUGAGGCCAGGAAUCGAACCUGCGUCCUCAUGGAUGCCAGUCAGAUUCGUUAACCACUGAGCCACAACGGAACUCCUGCAUGCACUUCUUAAUGUUUGAUUUCCAUCCUUUGUCGAUAUGAGAAUAUUCGCAAGCAUCUUACCAGCUUCCAAGAUGCAGGCUUGACAUGGAAAUGCUAGAACUUUGCUAUUUGAUGGGAAGAACCAACAUGAACCUCUUCCUCUCCACCCCCAUACAUAGAGUGUUUCUCUUCCCCAUUGAAAAAUUACCCUUUAAAAUUGACUAGUGACCAGUCACCCCCAUGCCUUCAUUAUACAAUGUCUGCCAAUUUCUUAAUAUCGCUUUUAUUAUUAAUAUCUAAUUUGUUUUUGUUUGAAUAUAGUUAUGUCCUUACAGUAAAUAGGAGCCUGAUGUUAUCAACUGAAGCGUAACUAUGCAAGUAACUUAAUAUUUAAAAUAAAUCUGUGCCUACCAACUAAGUCCCUCCACCAACUGUGAGUGUGAACUCUGCCCACCCAGGGCUCCCAUCCCAGAUGCUGGAAAACAUUGAUUUAAGAGAAAGUGUUGGGAGUUUAACCCCACACUCCCAGUCCAGGCAAACUAUUCCAUUUAGAACGGAUAAGCAAUGAGGUCCUACUGUAUAGCACAGGGAGCUAUAUCCAGUCCCUUGGGAUAGACCAUGAUGGAAGAUAAUAUGAGAAAAAGGAUGUAUAUGUAUGCAUGACUGGGUCACUUUCCUGUACAGCAGACAUUGGCACAACAUCGCAAAUCAACUACACUCGAAUAAAACAUAAAAAUAAAUUUAAAAAAGGAAGCAGUCCUGUUUCUAGAGAGCCAAAGUAGUUUCCCAUGACCCUCCAUCACUUAGGGUGUUAUCCCAUAUAUAUAUAUUUAUUUUUUUUUUUGCUUUUUUUUUUUUUUAAGGGCUGCACCUGCAGCAUAUGGAGUUUCCCAGCUAGGGGUCCAACUGGAGCUACAGCUGCUGGCUUAUGCCAGCACCACAUCGGGACCGGAUCUGAGCCGCAUCUGCAACCUACACCACAGCUCACAGCAAUGCCUGAUCCUUAACCCACAGAGCAAGGCCAGGGAUCGAACCACAUCCUCAUGGAUCCUAGUCAGCUUCAUUAAUCGCUGAGCCACGAAGGGAACCCCUGGAUCUUAUUCUAAAUAACGAAUUAGUUCAUGCAGGAGAAAUCUCAGAGCUACUCCUGGGAGUUUUUCCUCUCACCCUGUUGUCCCCUGUGACUUAGUGGAUAUUCCUGGGAUGCCCCAGCCAUGCAGCACACCUCCACCUCUCUUGUAACACCCUUGCUGCUUUCUCUUCCUUGAAGUUACCACAUGCUUCUUGUAAAUAGAGAAACUAUCGGGCAGAGAGGGUUGAUGGGGGCUUGCGGUCACAGUCUACUCAUCCCCCACGUUUGGAAUUUGUAAAUUCCCCCAUGCUCCCUGAGACCUCUCAGGAACAGCCUCUUGUCUUAUGUCCCUCUCACGGAAGGUCUAGCUCUUGUGUUCCUUCAUUCCUCCUUCCCUCCCUCCCUCUCUCCUUCUUUCUUUCCUUCCUUCCUUCAUCUCACCCUGCAUCCUCAUUGCUGACCCCCAGACUAUAGCACUCAUGGAAACACCAUUCUAUGCCGUGUCUUCGGAUGACUAGCACAUACACCCCAACCAGACCUCAGGUUGGACCCGUGAUCUGGAUGGUCACUUGGGGUGUUUAAUCUCUAAGUAUGUCAGGUUUUUUAAAUUUAGUUUUUAUUCAGGUACCGUUGAUUUACAAUGUUGUGCCCAUUUCUGAUGUACAGCAAAGUGGCCAGUACACACACACACACACACACACACACUCCUUUCUUAUAUUAUCUUCCAUCAUGUUCUAUCCCAAGAGAUUGGAUACAGUUCCCUUUGCUGCACAACCGGACCUCAUGCCUUAUCCAUUCCAAAUGGAAUACUUUGCAUCUAUUAAUCUCAAACUCCCCGUCCAUCCCGCUCCCUCCCUCCCCCUUGGUGACCACCAGUCUGUUCUCCAUGUCCAUGAGUUUGUUUCUUUUUUAUGGAUAGGUUCAUUUGUGCCCUGUUUUAGAUUCCAUGUGUAAGUGAGAUCAUAGGGUAUUUGCCUUUCUCUGUCUGGCUUAUUUCACUUAGUAGGAGACUCUCUAGUGGCGUCCAUGUUGCUGCAAAUGGUAUUAUUUCAUUCUUUUUUAUGCCUGAGUCGUAUUCCAUUGUAUAUAUGUACCACAUCAUCUUAAUCUAUUCAUCUAUGGACCUUUAGGUUGUUUCCAUGUCGUGGCUAUUGUGAAUAGGGCUGCCAUGAACGCAGGUGUACAUGUAUCUUUUUGAAUUAUAGUUUUGUCUGGAUAUACGUAAGCAUUUCAUUUUUAUACAUUCUAAAAAAGAAUGAGUCCAUUUGGGGUGUUCUCAGGUGCCUCAUGGAUCCCUGAGCUUUGGCCUUGACUGAAGUCCAAUUCCCUCUCUCCCUUGUUAAAGCAGGUGACCUAGAGCAGGUUGCUUCACCUCUUUCUACCUUGGUUUCCUCAACGGACUACCUGAAAAGGAGAUACCUGCCUUCUAGGAUUUUUACGCGUAUGCGUGAGAAAGUGUAAGAGAAAUUGCUUUGCAAUUUCUGAGGCUUUGUUCUGAUAGAAGGCGAGCAUUCUUUCUAAAUAUAGGAUGUUGGUAGUUUUAUCUAACUCUAUCACUGAGAACAUAACUCAGAAGGCUUUUGCCAUAUCCAUUUCAUUGUGUUGUUCAUAAAACUGUUUAUUUUCCCAGAUCAUACUUGUUUUCUCUCUCUCUUUGCUACUGCCUAAUUUCAUUAGCUGCCAUACAUAAAUGUAUUAUGUAAUUCUCCCAGGAUGUCAUUGACUGUUUCUAUUUUUCUGUAGUAUGACUUAAGUCCAUAAUACUUUUGACUAACUCUCCAAGAAUAUUACUGAGCAGUAGGUGAAGGAUACCCCUUUCCACUAACUCAAGCUCAGCACUUAAAUAUUUAAAUGACACAAAGCACUAGAAAAAAAACCGCAGGCAUGGAACUUUCCCACUGGCUUGAUGAAAUCCAAGAAACAAUUGGGAUAUUUGCUUAUAACACCUUUUUCUAUCCAAAAGAUUUAUGCAGCCUUUCAGAUAGGAAAAAAAAAAACAAUUAACGGAUAAUGUACAAUUAGCUAAUGCUUUUGAUUGCUUACUAUGUUCCAGGUACUAGUAUAAACUCUGCUUCUAUUCAGUUGUUUAAUCUUCACAACCACCUCAUAAAGGAGAUAUGAUUUUUGGUCCCUAUUUUCUGGUUGAGGAACCUGAAAUUCAGAAAACUUAACUGCCUUGCUCAGGGAUACACAAUAAGGAAGGAAUCCAACUGCAAAGUACACACACACACUGCUCUGUUUGCUUAAGAAACUCAUUUGUUCCUAAGCUCAGAGGCUAUAUACAUGUGCUGAAUGCCUGAGAAUGUGGGACCACUCCAUUCUGAAUUUGUUGCUGACUCUAACAGUUAGCCAAUCACAUCUCCUCUCUGGGACUCAGUUUUCUUAUGGUUGUGAUUUGGAGAGUUGGAUGAGAGCAUUGGUUUCUAAUCCACUUCAGGAAACUCAAGAAUCUGAGUAAGUGGUCCAGAGAGAGUGAUGGAGGCAGGAAAGGCAAUGCUGAGCAGGUGAAACUCUGGACCUUCAUUAACUGGUACGCUUAUGCUUACAUCUGGGAUGGAUGGGAGGAAGGAAGAAAGGAAGGAAGGACAAAGGGGAGGGAGGAAGGGAAAGGAAACAGACACACAACUGUUAUUAUACAAUCCAUUAUUAACUUAUUCCAAACUACUACUGCCCCACGGUUAUUCCCCGUGUAUGCCAUUAAACAAUCCUUGAAACGUGAUUUCAAAUGGCUAUGUAAUAUUGAAAUAUACAAAUACGUUACCCUUUACUUAACCAUUGCCCCAUUUGAGACAUGUGUGUGGCUUCUGAUUCUUUAUCAUUCAUUUAUUCACUCAAUUUGUAUUGGGAACUAUUAUUUGCAGGCGUUAACAUAACUAUAACACAGAUGUUCUUACACAUUCUUUUUGAUAUACGUACAUUUCACUUUCAUAGUUAUAUGAAAAUUGUUAUUUUGUGUUUCAUUUUUGAUUUUUGGCUUUCUUCCUUGAGGGAGAACCUGAUCUGAAAAGCCUGCUGAAUUUGGAGAAAAUGUUGAGAUGGAAUCUGUACAAAUGUUGAGCUUAGCUGACACAGGGAACACAAUUAGAGUUCUCGACACACUGUAUCCCAAGACUGUAGUUAUAAAUUAAUAGACAUUGUCUUGAUUGUGUGUGCCACCAGCAUCCAAAUCUAUUUUGCAAUCUGCAGGCUCAAAGGGACCAUCUUGAAGCUGUGGCUUUCCAUGUUGCCUAGUUUAGAGCUGGGUGAAGCCUCAGAGAAUACCAUCCCCUGGUCCUGGAGUGAAGAACUUGAGCCCCAGCUCCAGGGAUAGCAGAAGUCUCAUCUUCAGUCGUUCUCCUUGUAAAUAAUUGGGAGGAAACACACAACUGUGUCACUAUAUAAAGUGAAUAUAGCUGAGAUUAUAAGCUGCUUAUGUGUCACCCCUAAACGCAUGAUACAGACCCUCUCUAGUGGACAAGGCAACAUAAAGAGAAACCAAAAACGUCAUCCCUUGUCCAUAAAUGGAAAGCAGACAACUUCUCUUUGCAGAGGCAGAGGGACCACACAAGGUGGCAAUUUUGAAAUACCCCUUGGAGGCACAGUGCCACGUCCAAAGAGCAGCUUCAGAGAGCUGCAGUAUCCAGAGACCGAGCUGUGUUUGGCUUGGAUCUUCGUGUCAUGACACGGUGACAUUUUCCCCACACCCACUGCUGUUCCUCUCCUCCCCAGUGACUAUAUUUGAGCGAAGGUCAGUCUGUUUGGAGGCAGCUGGCUCGGGUUUUCCUACCAAGGGUUUGACUGUGUCUUAGGACAGACGAUGUCUAGAAAAUAGAAGACUCAGCCUCCAAAGAGCUUAGGCAUCUGUGAAGACUAAGAGAGACUCUGUGGGUAGAAAAUACCAUUAGCUUUCCUUCCCUUCUCUAUCGUCUGUCUUUUUAUCUCUUUCCCUGAUAGAGAGCAAAGGGUAGGGAAAUUUAAGUAAGAGCCUUCUCUCCUUGGCUGAUUUCUUUCUUUCUUUCUUUCUUUCUUUUUUAUUUCUCUGCUUCCUAAGGGAUCACUUAAUUCAUUUUAUGCCUCUGGAAAAGACCAGCAUUUUCUAAUACCUCCAAAUACCUGGGCAGGAUACCUCGCCCAACCUCAGCUCAUCAUUAUUCUGCGCUGAGUUAUGUAAUGAUUUGAUCCUGUUGAGGAGUAAUUCACCUUUGUUCCCACCUACGUUAAGACUGAUUACAAAUCCUCAUAAAAUACUCAUUAUGCUAACCAAAAAUGUCCUUAAGAAUAGUCUGUUUGAGAGGAGGUAAUGCUACCGCUUGGAAGUGUGGGCUUCUGUCUAAUUAUGUGUAAAUUAUCUGAGUGGAAUCUCAAAUGUUUAGUGAUAAACAGUUUUAUGCUUCCCAGCAAAGUAUCUAGUUUGUGAGGCAGUAUAAUCAAAAGCAGCUUGUGUGCAGUGAAUUGUAGAUUGUAUAACUUUGCAUCCUUUUCAAGUUAUUCUUAUGGAAAGAAGUGGGAAUGUGUCUGCAGCCCUUUAAGGAAAGCAAAUGCUAUAUUCUGCAAAUUUUUUUUUAAAGAGAGAAAAAAAAAUAAUUGAUCCUUUGACUAUACUACCAUUCUGCUCUCAGAAGAAACAUUAAAAAGUUGGAUUUCUUAAGAAAUGCAAUUAACUGACUUUUAUUUAAUGAUUUUUUUUCCUCAAGUAAUUCAUCCUGGAGGAAUGGUAUCUGUUGGUUAUUAACAAAGAUGAGGAUGGAUUAUUAAGAAGCAAAAUAUGAUACUCCACAGCAAUGCAUACAUAGUUACUCGGAGAAAAUCCCUUGUGGUUUGUUCUCAGCUAUCCCAUCCUUUCAAAAGCCUUUCCUGAGCGCCUUCCCCAUCUCUGGGUGGGAUGUUUAAACCUCCUCUGAGCCACCAGAAAGAUGCCAUUCUGUGAAUGAAGGGUAAUUGAACACCAGGAAAUUAGGAUGAGACCAUAAUAGUCAGUUAGCAAUCAUCACAACCCACAUAAUCUGGAUGGUCAUAAAAAAUACAAGUCUUCAAAUCUGAGAGGUCAUUAGUUCUUAGCCUUUGCACCAAGGUUCCUUAAACACCCAAGAAGCUUGAGAGAGGUCUGCCAGAGCAGGCACCACCAAAAAGUAUAGUCUUCAUACUUCCUUGGGCAAAGGAGAAUCAAGAUAUUAAAUACAUACAGCACAAGGACACCCUAUCCACUAUUGAGGACCUGGGGAUACUAGCUCAGAUGAAAUUGGUUUUGAUAAAAAAAAAAAAAAAAAAAAAAAAAAAAA